This is a long non-coding RNA of Lucilia cuprina (Australian sheep blowfly), 514 nucleotides long. RefSeq lists it as uncharacterized. NCBI's taxonomy places the organism in Eukaryota, Metazoa, Arthropoda, Insecta, Diptera, Calliphoridae. The transcript is spliced from 2 exons. The record is from RefSeq and is a predicted model, not a curated record.
AUCGCAGACCGUAGCAAUAUCUUAAAGCAAAAUUUUGAACAAAAAAGGAAAACUUUUUCCUUUGCACAUGUUUUUUUCAUCGUCUACUUCAACGUUUUAUAUUCAUCCAACAAAAUGCAUAUUUUCUAGCAAAGGCAUUUUACAAUUUCUUUCCGUUAUUAAGUUUUAAGAGAGUAGACAGAAAAAAACCAACUAAGAAAAUAGUAUUAAAUAAAAAAAAGAACAAGCUGCCUAAUUUGUUUCUUGAAAACAGAUUUUUCCUUUUUUGUUUGAUUUUUUCUGAUUUCUGAAUCAUCAAAAGGAUAAUCGUCUCUUUAGACAUAAACAUAGACACAAAGGAAAACAAAAACGAGACGUUAAACGCACACAUCUACAACAACAAAUAUACAAGUGCUCGUUUUACAUUUUUUCUACUUCUUUUAAUUUAAUGUAAAGAAAAUCCUUUGCUGGUGGUUUUAUUAUAAAUUUUUAAUUGUUCAAACUCAUUGAGCAGUUAUUGUGGUAUAUUGAUCUA